GUACAAACCCUACCACAAAUUAUAUUGCAAAAGGAAUUGAUCGUUUCAAAACUGCUUUCUAGAUUACAAAUAAAAAGCAGGCUAUCACUGGAGCCAAUACUCAGGUUGGUAGCCACAUUAUCAAGGGAUCUUCUGGAGGAUUUUUUGCCCUUUCUCCAGAGGAUUGUGAAUGCUAUAGUAUUUCUUCUGAAAAAUGGUGGUGAUAAGGAUCCAGACAUAAUUAAGCAGG
Coffea arabica (coffee) is the source of this 229-nucleotide non-coding RNA. NCBI's taxonomy places the organism in Eukaryota, Viridiplantae, Streptophyta, Magnoliopsida, Gentianales, Rubiaceae. The record is from RefSeq and is a predicted model, not a curated record.